This 593-nucleotide ribosomal RNA is filed under the name Trichoderma harzianum. Its description in RNAcentral is "eukaryotic LSU rRNA". The stretch from base 205 to 358 matches the Rfam family "5.8S ribosomal RNA". The record is from RNAcentral. Lineage: Eukaryota; Fungi; Ascomycota; Sordariomycetes; Hypocreales; Hypocreaceae.
GGGGCUUCGGAGUUCACUCCCAACCCAAUGUGAACGUUACCAAACUGUUGCCUCGGCGGGAUCUCUGCCCCGGGUGCGUCGCAGCCCCGGACCAAGGCGCCCGCCGGAGGACCAACCAAAACUCUUAUUGUAUACCCCCUCGCGGGUUUUUUUAUAAUCUGAGCCUUCUCGGCGCCUCUCGUAGGCGUUUCGAAAAUGAAUCAAAACUUUCAACAACGGAUCUCUUGGUUCUGGCAUCGAUGAAGAACGCAGCGAAAUGCGAUAAGUAAUGUGAAUUGCAGAAUUCAGUGAAUCAUCGAAUCUUUGAACGCACAUUGCGCCCGCCAGUAUUCUGGCGGGCAUGCCUGUCCGAGCGUCAUUUCAACCCUCGAACCCCUCCGGGGGGUCGGCGUUGGGGAUCGGCCCUGCCUUGGCGGUGGCCGUCUCCGAAAUACAGUGGCGGUCUCGCCGCAGCCUCUCCUGCGCAGUAGUUUGCACACUCGCAUCGGGAGCGCGGCGCGUCCACAGCCGUUAAACACCCAACUUCUGAAAUGUUGACCUCGGAUCAGGUAGGAAUACCCGCUGAACUUAAGCAUAUCAAAAGCCGGGAGGAA